ACCCAAGGUUUCCUCCGCAAGGUUCAUCCACGGAGGGUGAGUCAGGGCCUAAGAUCAGGCCGAAAGGCGUAGUCGAUGGACAAUAGGUGAAUAUUCUUGUACUACCCCUUGUUGGUUCCGAGGGACGGAGGAGGCUAGGUUAGCCGAAAGAUGGUUAUCGGUUUAAGGAUGCAAGCUGCCCCUGCUUUUUCAGGGUAAGAAGGGGUAGAAAAAAUGCCCCAAGCCAAUGUUCGAGUACCAGGCAUUAGACAAAUUUGAUUAUUUUUGUUCAGUUGGAAAUAUAAAUUUUAGUUUGUUUCAUAAUUUAAAUUUGGUUGGU
This is a non-coding RNA of Gossypium raimondii (Peruvian cotton), 319 nucleotides long. Lineage: Eukaryota; Viridiplantae; Streptophyta; Magnoliopsida; Malvales; Malvaceae. The record is from Rfam.